UACGGGAGGGGCAAGCGUUACCCGGAUUUAUUGGGUGUAAAGGGUCCGCAGGCGGUUAAGCGUGUCAGUUUUGAAAUACUCUGGCUCAACCAGAGAAUUGGAACUGAAACUGUUUAACUUUGAGUUCAGAGGGGGGAAACGGAACUGCCAGUGUAGCGGUGGAAUGUGUAGAUAUUGGCAGGAACACCAGUAGCGAAGGCGGUUUCCUACUCUGAAACUGACGCUCAGGGACGAAAGCGUGGGGAGCGAUCGGGAUUAGAUACCCCGGUA
This 270-nucleotide ribosomal RNA is filed under the name uncultured prokaryote. RNAcentral describes it as "partial 16S ribosomal RNA". It matches the Rfam family "Bacterial small subunit ribosomal RNA", at positions 524 to 792 of the family's 1533-position model. The record is from RNAcentral.